Molecule: ribosomal RNA, 445 nt
Filed under: uncultured bacterium
Lineage: Bacteria
Description: partial 16S ribosomal RNA
Rfam family: Bacterial small subunit ribosomal RNA
Source: RNAcentral
GUGAGGAAUAUUGCGCAAUGGAGGCAACUCUGACGCAGCCAUGCCGCGUGCAGGAAGAAGGCGCUACGCGUUGUAAACUGCUUUUAACCGGGAAGAAACCCCAGGACGUGUCCUGGGUUGACGGUACCGGAGGAAUAAGCACCGGCUAACUUCGUGCCAGCAGCCGCGGUAAUACGAAGGGUGCAAGCGUUAUCCGGAUUCAUUGGGUUUAAAGGGUGCGUAGGCGGAGCGUUAAGUCAGUGGUGAAAUCCUGCAGCUUAACUGUAGACUUGCCAUUGAUACUGGCGCUCUUGAGUGCGCUUGAAGUGGGCGGAAUGUGCCGUGUAGCGGUGAAAUGCUUUGAUAUGGCACAGAACACCAAUUGAGAAGGCAGCUCACUAAGGCGAUACUGACGCUGAGGCACGAAAGCGUGGGGAUCGAACAGGAUUAGAAACCCCUGUAGUCC